UUUUUUUUUUGGAUGAUGGAUUUAAUUACAUUUUUUAAAUUGCUCUAGACAGAAGCAUGCUUACAAAAGUCCCAUGUCCUAUCCCUAUUCAUUUUCAUCUCUUCUUCUUCCUUUCCCAUUUUUCCUGUUUUCUCUCUUCUUUCUUUUUCUCUUAAGACUUGGAAUGUUCUAGUAGAAAUGGUAUGAGUUUCAGAAUUAGGGUCCUUAAUUGCCGCUGCUUUGGUCUUUGCUGCUGGAAGUGUAGUAAAAAACAGUCAUGAGCUUGAUCUUGGAAUAUUUGGAAAUAUAGACUCUCCCGGACACAAAUCUACUCCUGCNNNNNNNNNNNUGCUGAAUGGGCUCUUCAUUGGAACAAGAUAUUCAGCUGACUCAUCUCAUUAGCAAAGUUUUAGGAGAAUUUAUGUCACUUAAAUUUCUGAACACGGUUUUAAUUAUGAGGGUUAAAUGAGAUAAUACAUGAGUUGUACAUAGCUCUGGGGUAAAAUAUAUUUGUGUGCUCUGUGAUGAACUCUGUUAGGAAAGACAGUCUCAGGUGCAGGUUUUUUGUUUGUUCGUUUGUUUGUUUUACAGCUGCACCUAUGGCAUAUGGAAGUUCCUGGCCUAGGAGUUGAUUUGAAGCUGCAGCUGCAGCUGCAGGCCUAUGCCACAGCCGUAGCAACACCAGAUUUGAGAUGCAUUUGUGACCUACAUUGGAUCCUUAACCCACUGAGUGAGGCCAGAGAUCAAACCCACAUUCUCAUGGAGACUAUAUUGGCUUCUUAACCUGUUGAGCCACAGCAAGAACUCCUCAUGUGCAAUCUUUAGAUCCCACCCUCCCUUCUCAGCCACAUAGAAUGGGCCAUGGGCCAGACCCAUCCUUACCAAGAGAACAAGAGCACACACAGCCUGUGCAGAGUUAAGCACCUUGUGGAGAACGGUCUUUCCCUCUUUCAGACUCAGUUGUGUACUUCUUUUAGCUGCUCAGUUAUGGGUGUCAUGUGGCACCUGGCCAACCACAGUAAUGCUUCUGUCCCCUGCAGGGAUGUGAUGGGGCCCUUUGGUAACAGCACAUGGUUGCUCUAUGCCAGCUGCUGGGAGGGACCUACUGGCCCCCCAGGGGUUUGAUGCCCACUACUGAAGCUGACCUUGCUCUGCCUCUUCUCUGUGAUGAGCAAAGCUUUAUUCUAGCCAGUGUUUGAUUGUGUUGUAUUUUCCUUGGUCACUCUGAUACCAAGAUGCAGGGGGCAGAAGUGUUUGGAUUUCUACUCUAGGUGAUAGGCAACACACAUUAUUUGCUCGACAGAUGUAUAUGUUGAAGUUUGAGCCUCCAGCACUUUAGAAUGUGACCUUCUUUGAAAAUAAUGUCAUUGUAUCUGUAAUUCAUUAAGAGGAGGUUUUAAUGGAGUAGCAUGGGCCCCUGAUCCCAAAUGACUUGUGUCCUUGUAAAAGGGAGAAAUUUGGGCACACACACACAUAAACACACACACAGAAUGCCAAGUGAACAUAAGGUAGAGACUAGGGUGAUAUGUCUAUAAGCCAGGGAACAUCAAAGAUUGCCAGCAGGGCACCACUGGAAGCUAUAGGAGAGACUUGAAACAGAUUCUCCAUUUCAGCCGUCAGGAGAAACCAACCCUGCUAACACCUUGUUCUUGAACUUCCCAAACUCUGAUACAACAGAUUUCUGUUUUUUAAGCCACCCAGUUAGUGGUGCUUUGUUCUAGAAGUCCUAGCCAACUAACACACUGUGCUCAACUGGAAUUUUUUUUCUUAUAACAGUAAAUAAUUUCUCUUUUAGAGAAUAUUUUGGUCACUUUUCUUUCCAUAUUCAAGCUUUAAUCAAAAGUUUUUGUGGGUCUUGAAGCACAAUGGAGAAGGUGGCAUUAAUCACAUAUAUUAUGCUUUUUAUAAAACCACUAUGAGGUCUGAUGCAAUGAAAUUCCUUUGGCAGAGGAUUUUGGUUCUGAUUCUAAUGUUUCCUCAAGGUUGGUAUUAGAUUAGAAUUUCAGUCUACAGAUUUUCAGUGUUAAUAUGACACGAUAUUGGAUUACAGAAUAAUAAUUACCAUUUUAAUAAUUUAUAUCAUUGGCUUUUUUUCAACCUUGUUCCAGCAAUAAAAGGAAUGCUGGGCGGGCUCAAGCUACGCUUCCUCGCUUGUAUUAACUCCUCCUGACACUCAGGUUUUCUAUCAUUGAGACCUGAUGUUAAUAGCCUUUCAGCUCUAUCAAACUGGAAACUUCGCCUUCUUAAAAUGCAGUUGCCAUGGGAACAGCAGAGUUCUGGGAUUUUUGUUUUCAGAAGGUAUCGGAAGACUCAGUGUCAAUACAAGAGUACACAGCAUGACAUAUUAACAUGUGCAAUUCUGUGCUGUUUUUACGUUUAAGAGAACAUGGGAAGAAAAAGGUACCUAAAUGUUUUCACUAAACCUGCCAAUGAGCUCUCAUUUCAUCUUUGUGCCAUAUUUAAUUCAUUUGUUUAUACACCCCCUUUGUUCCCAAAAGUGCUUUAGACAGCUUGGGUCAUGGAAGUUGUUACCAGACAAUUAGACAAAUACAUACAACAUGUUCCCACUGCUUCUAAUCACAUCCUCUAAAAAGGUAUCUUUUUGUUGAACCUGAGAUUAAUGGAUGUUUCUUUGCCGGGGCCAUAGCUGUACGGCUUCUUUAUUCUUAUCCCAGUGUCCUAUCCUCUGGUAAAACCUGCUUUUAAAAAAAUCUCUUUGUAGGGAGUUCCCGUCAUGGUGCAGUGGUUAACGAAUCCGACUAGGAACCAUGAGGUUGCGGGUUCAAUCCCUGGCCUUGCUCAGUGGGUUAAGGAUCUGGCGUUGCCGUGAGCUGUGGUGUAGAUUGCAGACUCGGCUGGGAUUCAGCAUUGCUGUGGCUCUGGUGUUGGCUGGCUUCGAUUUGACCCCUAGCC
RNAcentral lists this long non-coding RNA (2892 nucleotides) under Sus scrofa (pig). RNAcentral's name for it is "lncRNA (ENSSSCG00005017996.1)". The record is from RNAcentral. Lineage: Eukaryota; Metazoa; Chordata; Mammalia; Artiodactyla; Suidae.